This 353-nucleotide ribosomal RNA is filed under the name uncultured Sphingobacteriales bacterium. RNAcentral describes it as "bacterial SSU rRNA". It matches the Rfam family "Bacterial small subunit ribosomal RNA", at positions 1032 to 1382 of the family's 1533-position model. Lineage: Bacteria; Pseudomonadati; Bacteroidota; Sphingobacteriia; Sphingobacteriales. The record is from RNAcentral.
ACGUAGGUGCUGCAUGGUUGUCGUCAGCUCGUGCCGUGAGGUGUCGGGUUAAGGUCCCAUAACGAGCGCAACCCCUACCUUUACGUUGCCAUCAGGUUAAGCUGGGGACUCUAAAGGAACUGCCUACGCAAGUAGUGAGGAAGGCGGGGAUGACGUCAAAUCAGCACGGCCCUUACGUCCAGGGCUACACACGUGCUACAAUGGCCGAUACAGAGGGCAGCUACCUGGUGACAGGAUGCAAAUCUCCAAAGUCGGUCUCAGUUCGGAUCGGAGUCUGCAACCCGACUCCGUGAAGUUGGAUUCGCUAGUAAUCGCGCAUCAGCCAUGGCGCGGUGAAUACGUUCCCGGGCCUU